Non-coding RNA from Odocoileus virginianus texanus, 209 nucleotides. The record is from RefSeq and is a predicted model, not a curated record. NCBI's taxonomy places the organism in Eukaryota, Metazoa, Chordata, Mammalia, Artiodactyla, Cervidae.
GGAAGCUUGAAGUCUUCACCCCUGGACCACCAGGGAAGUCCUCACGAAGGCUUUUUUGAAGGAGAUCUAGAAUCCAUUGACUGAAGAGGUGACCAGAUGCCUAGGAAGAAGGACCCUUCAGCGCUGUGGCAGAAAGGCCCAAGGAACCGUGAGAGAGGAGCUACCAGAACCUGUGAGAGUGGAUCCAUAUGGCACAAGGAGUGGACUAU